Molecule: small RNA, 505 nt
Filed under: Pongo abelii (Sumatran orangutan)
Lineage: Eukaryota; Metazoa; Chordata; Mammalia; Primates; Hominidae
Description: retained intron
Source: RNAcentral
GGCUCCGGCCUGGCUCCCACGGCGCAGCCUGGGGCACCGUCCAUGGCAGGCACUGUGGCCCCAGGAGGGGUGAGCGGCCCUUCCCCAGCCCAGCUGGGAGCCCCAGCCCUCGGUGGGCAGCAGUCAGUCUCCAAUAAACUUCUGGCCUGGAGCGGGGUCCUGGAGUGGCAGGAGAAACCCAAACCUGCCUCAGUGGAUGCCAACACCAAGCUGACGCGGUCACUGCCCUGCCAGGUCUACGUGAAUCAUGGCGAGAACCUGUAGGUGACAGUCAGGGGUGGGGUGCGGUGGGGCUGGGGCUGGCCCCCUCCUCACACCUCUCCUGGCAUCGCCCCCCAGGAAGACAGAGCAGUGGCCCCAGAAGCUGAUCAUGCAGCUCAUCCCCCAGCAGCUGCUGACCACCCUGGGCCCUUUGUUCCGGAACUCAAGGAUGGUCCAGUUCCAUUUCACCAACAAGGACCUGGAGUCUCUCAAAGGCCUCUACCGCAUCAUGGGCAACGGCUUC